RNAcentral lists this long non-coding RNA (654 nucleotides) under Dermacentor andersoni. RNAcentral's name for it is "uncharacterized LOC126536270". The record is from RNAcentral. Lineage: Eukaryota; Metazoa; Arthropoda; Arachnida; Ixodida; Ixodidae.
CUACCCAGUGGCCAAAGUUGGUGUCGGUUGGUUUCGAACCCGCCUUUCUCAUCACAGCAGCCGGAUACUUUACCCAUUAGACCAUGAACUACCCAGUGACUCAAGUUGUAAAAGAGGUUCAUUGAAGAGCGACACAUACCCAGUGGCACCCACCCAGUGGCAUGUACGCAUUGGUCAAGUUGGCCUGACGGUUGGUUUCGAACCCGGCUCCCUCAUCACAGCAGCUGGAUGCUUCACCCAUUAGACCAUGAACUACCCAUGACUCAAGUUGUAAAAGAGGUUCAUUGAAGAGCGACACAUACCCAGUGGCACCCACCCAGUGGCAUGUACGCAUUGGUCAAGUUGGCCUGACGGUUGGUUUCGAACCCGGCUCCCUCAUCACAGCAGCUGGAUGCUUCACCCAUUAGACCAUGAACUACCCAUGACUCAAGUUGUAAAAGAGGUUCAUUGAAGAGCGACACAUACCCAGUGGCACCCACCCAGUGGCAUGUACGCAUUGGUCAAGUUGGCCUGACGGUUGGUUUCGAACCCGGCUCCCUCAUCACAGCAGCUGGAUGCUUCACCCAUUAGACCAUGAACUACCCAGUGACUCAAGUUGUAAAAGAGGUUCAUUGAAGAGCGACACAUACCCAGUGGCACCCACCCAGUGGCAUG